UGGGGAAUAUUGCACAAUGGGCGAAAGCCUGAUGCAGCAACGCCGCGUGAGUGAUGAAGGCCUUCGGGUUGUAAAGCUCUGUCUUUUGGGACGAUAAUGACGGUACCAAAGGAGGAAGCCACGGCUAACUACGUGCCAGCAGCCGCGGUAGUACGUAGGUGGCAAGCGUUGUCCGGAUUUACUGGGCGUAAAGGAUGCGUAGGCGGAUUUUUAAGUGAGAUGUGAAAUACCCGGGCUUAACUUGGGUGCUGCAUUUCAAACUGGGAAUCUAGAGUGCGGGAGAGGAGAAUGGAAUUCCUAGUGUAGCGGUGAAAUGCGUAGAGAUUAGGAAGAACACCAGUGGCGAAGGCGAUUCUCUGGACCGUAACUGACGCUGAGGCAUGAAAGCGUGGGUAGCAAACAGGAUUAGAUACCCUGGUAGUCCACGCCGUAAACGAUGAGUACUAGGUGUAGGAGGUAUCGACCCCUUCUGUGCCGCAGUUAACACAAUAAGUACUCCGCCUGGGAAGUACGAUCGCAAGAUUAAAACUCAAAGGAAUUGAC
Molecule: ribosomal RNA, 543 nt
Filed under: uncultured bacterium
Lineage: Bacteria
Description: partial 16S ribosomal RNA
Rfam family: Bacterial small subunit ribosomal RNA
Source: RNAcentral